Molecule: ribosomal RNA, 253 nt
Filed under: uncultured prokaryote
Description: partial 16S ribosomal RNA
Rfam family: Bacterial small subunit ribosomal RNA
Source: RNAcentral
UACAGAGGGUGCAAGCGUUGUUCGGAAUUAUUGGGCGUAAAGGGCGCGUAGGCGGUGCGGUAAGUCACCUGUGAAAUCUCCUGGCUUAACUGGGAGCCUGCAGGCGAAACUACCGUGCUGGAGUGUGGGAGAGGUGCGUGGAAUUCCCGGUGUAGCGGUGAAAUGCGUAGAUAUCAUUUGGAACGCCAAUGGUGAAAACAGGUAACUGGGGCUGUGCUGACGCUGAGACACGAAAGCCAGGGGAGCGAACGGG